This 467-nucleotide ribosomal RNA is filed under the name uncultured bacterium. RNAcentral's name for it is "partial 16S ribosomal RNA". It matches the Rfam family "Bacterial small subunit ribosomal RNA", at positions 28 to 507 of the family's 1533-position model. The record is from RNAcentral.
GACGAACGCUGGCGGCGUGCUUAACACAUGCAAGUCGAACGGAAGGCCCUGCUUUUGUGGGGUGCUCGAGUGGCGAACGGGUGAGUAACACGUGAGUAACCUGCCCUUGACUUUGGGAUAACUUCAGGAAACUGGGGCUAAUACCGGAUAGGAGCUCCUGCUGCAUGGUGGGGGUUGGAAAGUUUCGGCGGUUGGGGAUGGACUCGCGGCUUAUCAGCUUGUUGGUGGGGUAGUGGCUUACCAAGGCUUUGGCGGGUAGCCGGCCUGAGAGGGUGACCGGCCACAUUGGGACUGAGAUACGGCCCAGACUCCUACGGGAGGCAGCAGUGGGGAAUAUUGCACAAUGGGCGGAAGCCUGAUGCAGCAACGCCGCGUGCGGGAUGACGGCCUUCGGGUUGUAAACCGCUUUCGCCUGUGACGAAGCGUGAGUGACGGUAAUGGGUAAAGAAGCACCGGCUAACUACGUG